AUUGAACGCUGGCGGCAUGCCUUACACAUGCAAGUCGAACGGCAGCAUGAUCUAGCUUGCUAGAUUGAUGGCGAGUGGCGAACGGGUGAGUAAUACAUCGGAACGUGCCCUGUAGUGGGGGAUAACUAGUCGAAAGAUUAGCUCAUACCGCAUACGACCUGAGGGUGAAGGUGGGGGACCGCAAGGCCUCAUGCUAUAGGAGCGGCCGAUGUCUGAUUAGCUAGUUGGUGGGGUAAAGGCUCACCAAGGCGACGAUCAGUAGCUGGUCUGAGAGGAGGAUCAGCCACACUGGGACUGAGACACGGCCCAGACUCCUACGGGAGGCAGCAGUGGGGAAUUUUGGACAAUGGGCGAAAGCCUGAUCCAGCAAUGCCGCGUGUGUGAAGAAGGCCUUCGGGUUGUAAAGCACUUUUGUCCGGAAAGAAAUGGAUCUGGUUAAUACCUGGGGUGGAUGACGGUACCGGAAGAAUAAGGACCGGCUAACUACGUG
This 490-nucleotide ribosomal RNA is filed under the name uncultured bacterium. Its description in RNAcentral is "partial 16S ribosomal RNA". It matches the Rfam family "Bacterial small subunit ribosomal RNA", at positions 30 to 507 of the family's 1533-position model. The record is from RNAcentral.